CGCCAGUUUUGGCGGAGCCAUCCUUGGGAUACCACCCUUGUAGUACUGGGACUCUAACCAUAGGCCAUGAAUCUGGUCUUGGGACACUGUCAGGUGGGCAGAUUGACUGGGGCGGUCGCCUCCCAAACGGUAACGGAGGCGCUCAAAGGUUCCCUCAGUACGGUCGGAAAUCGUACGUAGAGUGUAAAGGCAAAAGAGAGCUUGAUUGCAAGACAUACAGGUCGAGCAAGGAUGAAAAUCGGACUUAGUGAUCCG
This 255-nucleotide ribosomal RNA is filed under the name Clostridioides difficile. Its description in RNAcentral is "partial 23S ribosomal RNA". It matches the Rfam family "Bacterial large subunit ribosomal RNA", at positions 2169 to 2422 of the family's 2925-position model. Lineage: Bacteria; Bacillati; Bacillota; Clostridia; Peptostreptococcales; Peptostreptococcaceae. The record is from RNAcentral.